UGGCGGCGUGGAUAAGACAUGCAAGUCGAACGAGAGAAUUGCUAGCUUGCUAAUAAUUCUCUAGUGGCGCACGGGUGAGUAACACGUGAGUAACCUGCCCCCGAGAGCGGGAUAGCCCUGGGAAACUGGGAUUAAUACCGCAUAGUAUCGAAAGAUUAAAGCAGCAAUGCGCUUGGGGAUGGGCUCGCGGCCUAUUAGUUAGUUGGUGAGGUAACGGCUCACCAAGGCGAUGACGGGUAGCCGGUCUGAGAGGAUGUCCGGCCACACUGGAACUGAGACACGGUCCAGACACCUACGGGUGGCAGCAGUCGAGAAUCAUUCACAAUGGGGGAAACCCUGAUGGUGCGACGCCGCGUGGGGGAAUGAAGGUCUUCGGAUUGUAAACCCCUGUCAUGUGGGAGCAAAUUAAAAAGAUAGUACCACAAGAGGAAGAGACGGCUAACUCUGUGCCAGCAGCCGCGGUAAUACAGAGGUCUCAAGCGCUGUUCGGAAUCACUGGGCGUAAAGCGUGCGUAGGCUGUUUCGUAAGUCGUGUGUGAAAGGCGCGGGCUCAACCCGCGGACGGCACAUGAUACUGCGAGACUAGAGUAAUGGAGGGGGAACCGGAAUUCACGGUGUAGCA
Molecule: ribosomal RNA, 622 nt
Filed under: Akkermansia muciniphila
Lineage: Bacteria; Pseudomonadati; Verrucomicrobiota; Verrucomicrobiia; Verrucomicrobiales; Akkermansiaceae
Description: bacterial SSU rRNA
Rfam family: Bacterial small subunit ribosomal RNA
Source: RNAcentral